Molecule: ribosomal RNA, 158 nt
Filed under: Cortinarius ignotus
Lineage: Eukaryota; Fungi; Basidiomycota; Agaricomycetes; Agaricales; Cortinariaceae
Description: 5.8S ribosomal RNA
Rfam family: 5.8S ribosomal RNA
About the family: 5.8S ribosomal RNA (5.8S rRNA) is a component of the large subunit of the eukaryotic ribosome. It is transcribed by RNA polymerase I as part of the 45S precursor that also contains 18S and 28S rRNA.
Source: RNAcentral
CAACUUUCAGCAACGGAUCUCUUGGCUCUCGCAUCGAUGAAGAACGCAGCGAAAUGCGAUAAGUAAUGUGAAUUGCAGAAUUCAGUGAAUCAUCGAAUCUUUGAAUGCACCUUGCGCUCCUUGGUAUUCCGAGGAGCAUGCCUGUUUGAGUGUCAUUA